CGAAGAUGGCGGAGGUGCAGGUCCUGGUGCUUGAUGGUCGAGGCCAUCUCCUGGGCCGCCUGGCGGCCAUCGUGGCUAAACAGGUACUGCUGGGAACUUAGCUCUGGCGAGUACUGCGCUGUGUCUGGAGGGUUGACUGCAUAGGCAAUGGUGGGACCCUCAGGCGGCUCGGCCCUGCUAAGCCUUUCCCUCCCUCUAGGCCGGAAGGUGGUGGUCGUACGCUGUGAAGGCAUCAACAUUUCUGGCAAUUUCUACAGAAACAAGUUGAAGUACCUGGCUUUCCUCCGCAAGCGGAUGAACACCAACCCUUCCCGAGGCCCCUACCACUUCCGGGCCCCCAGCCGCAUCUUCUGGCGGACCGUGCGAGGUAUGCUGCCCCACAAAACCAAGCGAGGCCAGGCCGCUCUGGACCGUCUCAAGGUGUUUGACGGCAUCCCACCGCCCUACGACAAGAAAAAGCGGAUGGUGGUUCCUGCUGCCCUCAAGGUCGUGCGUCUGAAGCCUACAAGAAAGUUUGCCUAUCUGGGGCGCCUGGCUCACGAGGUUGGCUGGAAGUACCAGGCAGUGACAGCCACCCUGGAGGAGAAGAGGAAAGAGAAAGCCAAGAUCCACUACCGGAAGAAGAAACAGCUCAUGAGGCUACGGAAACAGGCCGAGAAGAACGUGGAGAAGAAAAUUGACAAAUACACAGAGGUCCUCAAGACCCACGGACUCCUGGUCUGAGCCCAAUAAAGACUGUUAAUUCCUCAUGCGUUGCCUGCCCUUCCUCCAUUGUCGCCCUGGAAUGUACGGGACCC
This 797-nucleotide small RNA is filed under the name Pan troglodytes (chimpanzee). Its description in RNAcentral is "processed transcript". Lineage: Eukaryota; Metazoa; Chordata; Mammalia; Primates; Hominidae. The record is from RNAcentral.